AUCUCCCGGAGCUCUCUCUCCUCCUCCCUCGAGAGACCCGUGGACCCGCAACCUGCGCCUCCUCCUCCCAUCGCAGGUUGCCACAAGACGGUGGCGUCACCUCCUCCCGGCGCCACCGUCUCGU
RNAcentral lists this small RNA (124 nucleotides) under Ketogulonicigenium vulgare WSH-001. RNAcentral describes it as "Ketogulonigenium vulgarum WSH-001 Alphaproteobacterial ar14". It matches the Rfam family "Alphaproteobacterial ar14". From Rfam's summary of the family: Smr14C2 was renamed NfeR1 (Nodule Formation Efficiency RNA) highly expressed in salt stress and during the symbiotic interaction on legume roots. Lineage: Bacteria; Pseudomonadati; Pseudomonadota; Alphaproteobacteria; Rhodobacterales; Roseobacteraceae. The record is from Rfam by way of RNAcentral.